CUCUAGUCCUAAUGUGUGGUCAAUGAUAGUGUAUAAAGACAUUACAUCUAAUGUUGUCCACAUAGAUCUCUCUUCCCAUUCUCUUGAGUCUAGUUCUCGAAUUGAGUGUUUUGUGUCCUUAAAGGAACUCUGCAGUGCCAGGAAAACAUAUUAGUUUUCCUGGCACUGCAGGACCCUACAGUGUCCUUCUCCCUCCCACCACCCAUCCCAAG
Pelobates cultripes (western spadefoot toad) is the source of this 212-nucleotide non-coding RNA. NCBI's taxonomy places the organism in Eukaryota, Metazoa, Chordata, Amphibia, Anura, Pelobatidae. The record is from the annotation of a GenBank genome assembly.